RNAcentral lists this transfer RNA (73 nucleotides) under Gemmatimonadota bacterium. RNAcentral describes it as "Gemmatimonadetes bacterium (beach sand metagenome) tRNA-Gly". It matches the Rfam family "tRNA". Rfam says of the family: Transfer RNA (tRNA) molecules are approximately 80 nucleotides in length. RNAcentral also lists the same sequence under 3 other names. The record is from RNAcentral. Lineage: Bacteria; Pseudomonadati; Gemmatimonadota.
GCAGGCAUAGCUCAGCUGGUAGAGCGCAACCUUGCCAAGGUUGAGGUCGCCGGUUCGAAUCCGGUUGCCUGCU